CGGUAUUCUAACCGUGCGAAGGUAGCGUAAUCACUUGCCCUUUAAAUGAGGGCUAGUAUGAAUGGCAUCACGAAAGUUGUACUGUCUCCUUCCCCUAAUCAGUGAAACUAAUCUCCCCGUGAAGAAGCGGGGAUACUUAUAUAAGACGAGAAGACCCUAUGGAGCUUUAAACCAAGCAUCAACUGCCACUAUAAACCUACAAUUCCAGAAAUAUAAUCUGUACGCUAGCAUAGUGUAAUGCUGGUUUUAGGUUGGGGUGACCACGGAGUAAAAACAAACCUCCGUGCUGAAUCAGGACCUCCUUAAGCAAUAAGCCACAACUUUAUGCAUCAACAAAUUGACAUAAUUGACCCAAUUCUUUGAUCAACGAACCAAGUUACCCUAGGGAUAACAGCGCAAUCCAUUUCAAGAGCCCCU
Molecule: ribosomal RNA, 417 nt
Filed under: Gastrotheca cornuta (horned marsupial frog)
Lineage: Eukaryota; Metazoa; Chordata; Amphibia; Anura; Hemiphractidae
Description: partial 16S ribosomal RNA
Rfam family: Bacterial large subunit ribosomal RNA
Source: RNAcentral